This 440-nucleotide ribosomal RNA is filed under the name uncultured bacterium. RNAcentral describes it as "partial 16S ribosomal RNA". It matches the Rfam family "Bacterial small subunit ribosomal RNA", at positions 338 to 795 of the family's 1533-position model. The record is from RNAcentral.
CCUACGGGUGGCAGCAGUGGGGAAUAUUGCACAAUGGGGGGAACCCUGAUGCAGCGACGCCGCGUGAGUGAAGAAGUAUUUCGGUAUGUAAAGCUCUAUCAGCAGGGAAGAAAAUGACGGUACCUGACUAAGAAGCCCCGGCUAACUACGUGCCAGCAGCCGCGGUAAUACGUAGGGGGCAAGCGUUAUCCGGAUUUACUGGGUGUAAAGGGAGCGCAGACGGCUGUGCAAGUCUGGAGUGAAAGGCGGGGGCCCAACCCCCGGACUGCUCUGGAAACUGUAAAGCUGGAGUGCAGGAGAGGUAAGCGGAAUUCCUAGUGUAGCGGUGAAAUGCGGAGAUAUUAGGAGGAACACCAGGGGCGAAGGCGGCUUACUGGACUGCAACUGACGUUGAGGCUCGAAAGCGUGGGGAGCAAACAGGAUUAGAUACCCCUGUAGUC